CCUCAAAAGAGGGUAGCUCUUGCAUCAUUUCCUUUGCACUUUGUGCUCUUGUGACUACAUGACAGGGUUUAAAUGGUUCAACUGUCAUAUCUAGAGGAAGUGAGCCUCCAGAUUCAGCACCUAGAAUGUCUUUCUCAGCACUCAUUUGAGGGUCAUAAUCUGACUGAUGUAUUAGAUCAAAGAGAGUGGGGAUGUCAUUACCAAGUAUCACUGAAUAUGGCAAACUGGGAACCACAGCUACCACUAACAAGUAGGUUUGACCUCCCACUGUCAGGUAAACCUCAGCAGUGGGGUACCUGUGUUCAUCUCCAUGCACACAACUUAUUGUAGCCCCAACCCCACUUAGCUUUUCUCUUGAAAUUAUGCUAGAGUGUACAAGAGUUUGGAAGCACCCAGAGUCAAGCAAAGCUUCCUCUUUGCGCCCAUUAAUUAAAACAGGGACAGUACAAGCUUUCUUUCCUACUGGCUCUGUGGCUGGUCUUGGAACUGCACACAAAAGAGAUGGUUUUGACUUAAGGGCAGGGCAAAAUUGUUGUGUAUGGCCAAAGUUAUGACAGUGAUAACAUUUAAUAUCCUGAACUGAAGACUUAAAGGAUUUCUUCACAUUGUGAGGUCUAUGGGAAGGGAACUGUCUAGAACUAGAAAGAUUUCUAGCCUGAACUUGACCAGAACCCUGUUCACCCCCAAUGGACUUACUUGGUUGGGCGUAGUGGGUGUCCCGGCUGAAGUAGGUGCUCUUGCUUCCUUUUCUGGCUGAAGUGAAAACCUCUGCGAGGCUAGCUGCUUCCUUUGCCGUCUUCGGGUCAUGCUCACGUAUCCAGAUUUCCAGCUCUGGGUUAACCAUUCUUAAAAACUGCUCCAGAAUUAUCUGCUCAGAUAUUUCUUCUACAGUUGAUUUUUCAGGUUUAAUCCAUCUUGAAAACAGGUCUUUCAAUCUUACAUAAAGUUCACGUGGCGUCUCACCUGGUUCAACUUUCAUAGAUCUGAAGCGGCAUCUGUAGGUGUCAGCAGUGAUCUCAUAUUUUGCCAGAAUUGCCUCUUUCACUUUAUCAUAGUUCUCAGAGUCUGUUACAUCCAUAAGAAUGUAGGCUGUGCGGGCUUUACCUGUCAACAGGGGAACCAGACGAAUAGCCCACUCAUCUCUGGGCCAUCGACACACGUUUGCCAUUCUUUCAAACGUAGUCAGAAAAUGUUCAAUGUCAUCUUCUGGUGACAGAGGAAAAAGUUUUGGUUCAAUUAAAGACCUGGACCCACUGGCCACUAGAAUGUCUUCACCAUUGAAUCCAUGUUCUUGUUCUUCAGAUGUUGUAGGGGGCGCUGGCGCCUCUGGUGGAUUAGGCUUAUCAAUUACAGCAUUAACUUGUAGCUGGAUUUGCUGAAAUUGAUGCUGCAUGCCUUUCCACCUUUGCUCCUGACGUGACAAAUCCUUCUCCCACUUUUGGUCUCUGGCUGCUUGAGACCGCAUAAGAGAUUUCACCAACCCUGUCAACUCCUCCAAUUUGUCCUCAGGGCUUGUUGCUGCCAUGGCAUCUAGCUCAGAUGAAGCUCCAACUCCUUCAUCAGGCUGCUCCUCUUGGCCUGGCUUUCUUCCACCUCUUGUCAUCAUCUUCUCACUGUGGCAUGAGUGACACACUUCUGACACCACUUGUAAUAGGGCAGCCCUUAGCGGCUGGAAACACAGUGAGAUGGACGAAGGCAAGUGCAGUGGAACAAAAGUAUUUAUUUCCCAUACAGCUCUCCUUACAACAAUUCACUUGUCGAGCUUCUUCACAGCACUAUAUAUCCCUCUCUAAUGACAACCAGCAGCCUUAAAUAUGUUCAGCUGUCACAGACUAAACCAUUAUUCCACUCUUAGGUAAAUUCUUAAAUCCCAACCUUCCACCACAGUAUACAAUAUAUCAAUUAGAAUAAAUAAAUACAUAAAUACAUUUCACAUUUUCAUAUUAAUAAAUAUUUCACACUUUAAUUCUACACCAAACCCAAUAUUAUAAAAACCCAGAAACCCAAGCACAAAAAGAUUCACCACACUCUCUUAACCAAUGGUCUCUCCCGGAACCUUUAAAUGGUGUCUGGACCCCCGGGGAAACAUUUGCCCAAACACCCUGAAGAGGACACAGGCAAGAAAGACAACCACCACAUUCCUUGAUGAGGAGCAGCUGUGCAGGAUCUGAAUCAAGGCUACCAACUGAUUUUAAAAUUCCCAAUAAAUAAUCAAUAAAUAUU
Molecule: long non-coding RNA, 2223 nt
Organism: Oreochromis niloticus (Nile tilapia)
Lineage: Eukaryota; Metazoa; Chordata; Actinopteri; Cichliformes; Cichlidae
Exons: 2
Source: RefSeq, a predicted model, not a curated record